Long non-coding RNA from Cygnus olor (mute swan), 574 nucleotides. RefSeq lists it as uncharacterized. Lineage: Eukaryota; Metazoa; Chordata; Aves; Anseriformes; Anatidae. The record is from RefSeq and is a predicted model, not a curated record. The transcript has 3 exons.
CGCCUUCCCUUUCACCAGAAAGUUUUCAGUUGUUUCCCUUGUGUCAGUUCAAGCAACCAUGUGGCGAGCCAGAGCAGCUCACAGAUGCAGCUUCAAUGAACUUUCCAUUUUCUUCUUUUUCUCUUCUUUUUCUCUUUUUUUUUUUUUUUUUUUUUUUUUUUUUUUUGGAGAUGGCCUUCACAUGGGUCCGUGAGUCACUGCUCUCCUGCGGCAGCAGGGCUGGUGGAGAGGUGCAGUGGGAGCAGGCAGCCGGGGUGGAGAAGCGAGAGGAGGACUGCCCCUUCCAGCCAUGGUGCAGCUUUAGGAGCAGGGUUACCAACAAGCAGAUUAUUUGCAGUUAAGAGAAAUCAAAGCACUCCAGAUGCAACAUCCCAGCCACCAACAGCACACCCUGCAUCCGGAAAUGCUCUGGCCUGGCUGAGCUCCUGACAACAGACUCCAGUCCUGGAACUACAUAUCCUUGAGAAUAAAUCUUAUUUUCCUGACUGCAAGCUUCUUUAAGAAAUGAUAUUUGAUAUUAUUCUUGCCUUCCUGUAUAAUACACCAUAUUAAUACAAACCGUGUGUUAAGCCUC